AUUGAACGCUGGCGGAAUGCCUAACACAUGCAAGUCGAGCGAGGUGUAGCAAUACAUCUAGCGGCGGACGGGUGAGGAACACAUAGGAAUCUACCUUUUAGUGGGGGAUAACCCGGGGAAACUCGGAUUAAUACCGCAUACGAUCUACGGAUGAAAGUGGGGGACCGCAAGGCCUCACGCUGUUAGAUGAGCCUAUGUCCGAUUAGCUAGUUGGUAGGGUAAUGGCCUACCAAGGCGACGAUCGGUAGCUGGUUUGAGAGAACGAUCAGCCACACUGGAACUGAGACACGGUCCAGACUCCUACGGGAGGCAGCAGGUGGGGAAUAUUGGACAAUGGGCGCAAGCCUGAUCCAGCAAUUCCGCGUGGGUGAAGAAGGCCUU
This 381-nucleotide ribosomal RNA is filed under the name uncultured bacterium. RNAcentral describes it as "partial 16S ribosomal RNA". It matches the Rfam family "Bacterial small subunit ribosomal RNA", at positions 30 to 418 of the family's 1533-position model. The record is from RNAcentral.